This 497-nucleotide ribosomal RNA is filed under the name uncultured bacterium. RNAcentral describes it as "partial 16S ribosomal RNA". It matches the Rfam family "Bacterial small subunit ribosomal RNA", at positions 28 to 507 of the family's 1533-position model. The record is from RNAcentral.
GAUGAACGCUGGCGGCGUGCCUAAUACAUGCAAGUCGAGCGAACGGACGAGAAGCUUGCUUCUCUGAUGUUAGCGGCGGACGGGUAAGUAACACGUGGAUAACCUACCUAUAAGACUGGGAUAACUUCGGGAAACCGGAGCUAAUACCGGAUAAUAUUUUGAACCGCAUGGUUCAAAAGUGAAAGACGGUCUUGCUGUCACUUAUAGAUGGAUCCGCGCUGCAUUAGCUAGUUGGUAAGGUAACGGCUUACCAAGGCAACGAUGCAUAGCCGACCUGAGAGGGUGAUCGGCCACACUGGAACUGAGACACGGUCCAGACUCCUACGGGAGGCAGCAGUAGGGAAUCUUCCGCAAUGGGCGAAAGCCUGACGGAGCAACGCCGCGUGAGUGAUGAAGGUCUUCGGAUCGUAAAACUCUGUUAUUAGGGAAGAACAUAUGUGUAAGUAACUGUGCACAUCUUGACGGUACCUAACCAGAAAGCCACGGCUAACUACGUG